UGCGCCGAAGAAUCGGACGAAGCGUCGAGGGACCAAUGACAUGUCGGACAACUUGGUUAAUUGCUUAGGAUUAAUUGUCUCGAUCGAAGUUUUGUUUUGUUGUGCAGGAUUAACUACGAUAAGAGUAAGACAAGCAGCCAGGAGUUGCGCCGGAGUCAAGAUCAUGAUCACGUUGGGAGUUCGAGAGUUCGACGGAAGUUCGGACGGUCGUCGGAGGUUCAGAGAGAACAGAUCCGAGAAGUCCAGAAGCUUGCCAAGCGAAGCUCGUCGGAACUCGCCAAGUGGAUCGUCGCAAAGUCCAGGAGUAUGCCGGAUGUCCGCAGAAGGAUCACCGAAGGUUAUCGGUUGAUCGACGGAAGUUGGCCGGAAACUCGCCGGAAGAAGCGAUUGACGCAUCGGAGCAAAGCUGCAGAAGUUGUCUUAGAGAUAUUCGUAGUUAGCACGAUGAUUAAGCAUGAAAAUGGGAGGUGAUCCCAUUAGCUUAAUCUUGGGGCAAUUGGGCCCCUGAAAAGAUUCAAAGUGGGUCGAAUGGAGUGAACCAUUCGGACCCUGAUUGCACCAGGAGGUGCAACCGCCCCAGCCAGGAGGUGCAACCGCCUGGGCUGUGGGGUUGAGAGGUGCAACCGCCCCAGCCAGGAGGUGCAACCGCCAGGGUUGCAAGGCUGGGAGGUGCAACCGCCCCAGCCAGGAGGUGCAACCGCCAGGGUUGCAAGGCUGGGAGGUGCAACCGCUCCAGCCAAGAGGUUGCACCGCCAGAGCUCAAGUUCCGAGCUCUGCCAGGCGAUGCAACCACCGAGCUCAGUCUUCGAGCUCUGGCAGAGUGGUGCAUCAGCCUGAGCUCAGUCUCGAGCUUUGCCAGGUGAUGCAUUCACCAAGCUCAGUCUUCGAGCUCUGGCAGAAUGGUGCAUCAGCUUGAGCUCAGUUUGGAGCUCUGCCAAGUGAUGCAACCACCAAGCUCAGUCUUCGAGCUCUGCCAGGCGAUGCAACCAUCGAGCUCAGUCUUCGAGCUCUGGCAGAGAGAAGCAAUCGGCAGAGCUCAGUCUUCGAGCUCUGCCAGGCGGUGCCACCUCUCCAGUCGAGAGGUGCAACCGCCUGAUCCCAGAAUUCUGGGAUUUGAUCGAUUUGAUCGUUUUGAGCUCGAAUUUUGAAUUGGGUUGGGGCCUAUAAAUACCCCACCCAUUCAGCACUGAAAAGAUAACAGACCAAUACCGAAAUAUUGAUCUUUUCUGUGAUUCUAAGAGCUCAAAAGUGUUGUAAAGUCUUUAAGUCUCCUCCUUCUGUUCUUCAAGUUUUUGAUUGUAAAGUGAGGAGAGAAAGGUCUGUAAAGGUUGUCUCCUGAGCCUGUCAAAAGGAGAGAAACUGUAAAAGGGCAGUUAGCCUUCACCCAUUGAAGGAAGGCCCCUAGUUGACGUCGGCAACCUCGUCGGUGGAGGAAGCCAAAAGUGGAGUAGGUCAAGGCUGACCGAACCACUCUAAAUCUCUGGUUUGCGUUUAUUUUCGAGCACUUUAUCAUUACUGCAAACCUCCUUCAUUGCUACUGCUCUCUGCGCUUUCACGAACAAAUUCUAAGUGCUGUUCUUCCAAAUCUGCAUUCAGACGUAAAUUCGUAUUUUCGUACAUUACAGUUUACGUUUACGUUUGAUUCUGCAGAACUGUCUUCCGUGCUUUUACGAACGAGUUUCUUUGCAGUUUACGCUUACAUUUUAAUCCUAUUAAUAACUGCAAUCUGUCCUCUAUGAUCUUACGAACGAGUUUCAACAUUUAGACGCAAAACUGCAUUCAGACGUAAAUCGGCUUUUCUCGCUCAAUCGUCAGAUUUCAGUUCACGUUUACGUCUUGAUUUCAACUGCAUACUGCCUUCUGCGAGUAUACAAACAAGUUUCAAAGUUUAGACGUAAAUCUGCGUUUAGACGUAAAUCUGCGUUUAGACGUAAAACUACGUUUAGACGUAAAUCUGCGUUUAGACGUAAAACUGCGUUUAGACGUAAAACUGCGUUUAGACGUAAAACUGCGUUUAGACGUAAAUCUGCGUUUAGACGUAAAUCUGCGUUUAGACGUAAAUCUGCGUUUAGACGUAAAUCUGAGUUUAGACGCAAAACUGCACUUAGACGCAAAACUGCGCUUAGAUGCAAAACUGCGCUUAGAUGCAAAACUGCGCUUAGACGCAAAACUGCGCUUAAACGCAAUCUGCGCUUAGACGCAAACUGCACUUAGAUACAAACUGAGAAUUUGCUUUUGCAUCAUAAUAGUUUUUGAACGAACGCAGCUUUUGGUUCUUAAUCGCUGUAAGAUUUCCGCUGCACUAAUUCACCCCCCCCCCUCUUAGUGCUCUCGAUCCUA
Molecule: long non-coding RNA, 2340 nt
Filed under: Musa acuminata (dwarf banana)
Lineage: Eukaryota; Viridiplantae; Streptophyta; Magnoliopsida; Zingiberales; Musaceae
Description: long non-coding RNA (MACU_LNC009899)
Source: RNAcentral